CAGUAGCCACGGGAAUACAGAGGGUGCAAGCGUUAAUUGGAAUUACUGGGCGUAAAGCGCGCGUAGGUGGUUUGUUAAGUUGGAUGUGAAAUCCCCGGGCUCAACCUGGGAACUGCAUCCAAAACUGGCAAGCUAGAGUAUGGUAGAGGGUGGUGGAAUUUCCUGUGUAGCGGUGAAAUGCGUAGAUAUAGGAAGGAACACCAGUGGCGAAGGCGACCACCUGGACUGAUACUGACACUGAGGUGCGAAAGCGUGGGGAGCAAACAGGAUUAGAUACCCCUGUAGUCCCUGUCUCUUAUAA
This 301-nucleotide ribosomal RNA is filed under the name uncultured bacterium. RNAcentral's name for it is "partial 16S ribosomal RNA". It matches the Rfam family "Bacterial small subunit ribosomal RNA", at positions 509 to 809 of the family's 1533-position model. The record is from RNAcentral.